AGACUUGUAGCUAAUUGGAAAGCAGCUUGUCUCCAAAACAAGUAAUCUAGGUUCGAGUCCUAGCGAGUCUG
Lactobacillus sp. ASF360 is the source of this 71-nucleotide non-coding RNA. NCBI's taxonomy places the organism in Bacteria, Bacillati, Bacillota, Bacilli, Lactobacillales, Lactobacillaceae. The record is from Rfam.